AUUGAACGCUGGCGGCAUGCUUUACACAUGCAAGUCGAACGGUAACAGGCCUUCGGGUGCUGACGAGUGGCGAACGGGUGAGUAAUGCAUCGGAACGUGCCCAAUCGUGGGGGAUAACGUAGCGAAAGUUACGCUAAUACCGCAUAAGCCCUGAGGGGGAAAGCAGGGGAUCGCAAGACCUUGCGCGAAUGGAGCGGCCGAUGUCAGAUUAGCUAGUUGGUGGGGUAAAGGCCUACCAAGGCGACGAUCUGUAGUCGGGUCUGAGAGGAUGAUCCGCCACACUGGGACUGAGACACGGCCCAGACUCCUACGGGAGGCAGCAGUGGGGAAUUUUGGACAAUGGGCGCAAGCCUGAUCCAGCCAUGCCGCGUGCGGGACGAAGGCCUUC
RNAcentral lists this ribosomal RNA (388 nucleotides) under uncultured bacterium. RNAcentral describes it as "bacterial SSU rRNA". It matches the Rfam family "Bacterial small subunit ribosomal RNA", at positions 30 to 419 of the family's 1533-position model. The record is from RNAcentral.